This is an RNA transcript of Rhineura floridana, 4824 nucleotides long. It is a transcript of the gene named coiled-coil domain containing 127, with no coding region annotated. The transcript is spliced from 5 exons. The record is from RefSeq and is a predicted model, not a curated record. NCBI's taxonomy places the organism in Eukaryota, Metazoa, Chordata, Lepidosauria, Squamata, Rhineuridae.
GGAUUCUUCCUGCAACGGCGGAGGCUUCACAGCGCGAGCCUCUGGGAGGUUCACGUAUAUUUCUCCCCGCUCCCGUCACGCACUUACCGCGCGGAGCACUUUCAAGUGCCGCAGCCCCCACGAAGCCACCGCUGUCACCGCCAUUUCGCACCCGCCCGGAGAGGGUCAGGGAUUAAGCCACUGCGCGUGCGUAAACGGGACGGGCACCCUGACGGGACAAUUGUGACGGCAAAACAAACCAAACCAGAGAAACUGGGUUAAAACCCUCCUGGCUUGAAGGAAUAGAGAUAGAAAGCCUUUUUCUAAUGAGGAACAAUAUAACGUCAAAAACGACGGUGAAGUCCCAUUUCUAGAAAAAGGAACUGUCUGUCUAGCGAUCUUUUAUGCUUGAAAAAGUUCCCGAGGAAGAUUAUCUUCCCUCGUCUCACACGGAUGGUUCAUUCCAAAAAAAAACGGGGGGGGGGCGAGGCCGAAGGUGUAUUGCGCAGGCGCAAUGAAGCCUCGGCGGUCACAAGUAUCCGGAGGGUGAUAGAAGCGUCUUCUCUUCGGUUCUCUUCUGGAACUAGAAGAUUAUUUAGCUUUAGUUCCAGGAUGGUUUUUAUCAAGAGGCCUUUGUUUUCUGAGUGAUCAAAUUUGUUUGACUGCUAAAAAGGAAUUAAGGGUUUGUCAAUGAAUAAUUUAAAUGACCCUCCUAACUGGAACAUCCAGCCUAAUGCAAGGGAUGAUGAAGGCCAUGGAAGCAAAUGGAAUUAUGCUUUGUUGGUUCCAAUGUUGGGGCUGGCUGCCUUCCGUUGGAUCUGGUCCAGGGAGUCUCAGAAAGAGAUAGAAAGAGAGAAAAAAGAUUUGCAUAGAAAACUCUCGUUAGUACAGAGAGAGCUUGAAUCUAAAUAUCAUGAGAUAAUCACAACAAACCGUCGGACAGUUGCUCAUUUGGAAUUGGAAUUGGAAAAGGAACGGAACAGGACACUGAGUUAUCGUGAAGCCCUCGUCUCUCAAAGUCGUAAACUGGUGGAAGAAAGAAGAACUCUGGAACAAGAACGUACAAAAUUAGACCAAGAGAAACAGAUUCUGCAGCACUCUGGGGCUGCCGGUGCUCUGUAUCAGAAUUGCCUAGAGAAGGAAGAGCAGUGGCAGAAGCGAGCUACUGCUUUGCUGAAAGAGUUUGAAGAUGCUCUUGCAGAAAGGCAGGACAUCUAUUGUAGCCUUGUGCUACCAAGACACCAGCGACUAGAAAUAGAGAAAAAUUUGCUUGUUAGAGCAGCAACUGAUCCAGUUGCCAUGGACCUGGAAAUGGAAAGUGGCUUAAAAGAUAUUUUCAGGCAUGAUACCUAUUGCAGCAAUUUGCUUAACACCAAUAAACGUAGAAAUGGAAGACUAAUGUGGCUCUACCUUCGACACUGGGAAUUAUCUGCUGAACUCAAAAAGUUCAAGAGGGUAGAGAAGGUCAUGUUAGGAAAGUAGCGGCUAAAAAAUAUGAGCAUCCAUACAUUACACGUAUCAGAUAUGGGUGGUUUCCUUUUGGAUAUAUAUAGUUUCUCUUAGCUUUUCCCCCACACAAGUAUUAGUCAUCCAGUGGGGUGUCUUAAGUGCUCAGUGUCUCUCACAUUGACUAGCCGAGGUGAUUAUAUAGUACCAUAAUGCUCUAUGUCAAGUAAAUAACUCUGUCUUUUUAUUAAUAGUGCAACUCGAUGCAUGUUUACUCAGAAGUAAAUUUUACUGUAUUCAGUGGGAUUUCUUCCUAGAUAAGUGUGCUUUAGGAUUGCAGCCUAGAUCAGGAUACUGGGCUUAAGAGGCAAUGACUUCAGCUUCCACCUAGUUAGUUUUUACUGUUAUUUAAGACUGAGAAAGCACCUUUCUAUUGGUUGUUGAAGUAUGUGAUCAAGUUCUCAAAUUAGUCACAUUUAUGAUGUAGACUGGGCUAGGCUUAAUGCUUACAUAUAUUCACACUGAUCGUGUAGGAGAAAAAUUGAUAGUUGACACUAACUGAAAAGCUGGUGCAUAUAGCAUGGGAUCAGGGUUUAAUUUGAGCAAGGGCUCAGCAACCACUGAAUGCCAGAGCAUAACUAUGGACCAUGUGAAACACCAAUCGGAAACACAAUGCCCCAGAGCAAGUGCAGAGUUCCUUAUCAUUUUGGGUGAACAACUGCAGCCAACCCCCAAGCAUCUGGGAUGAAAGGGGAAGGAUUUUCAGGUAGAAAGUGCCUUUCGCGCAUGCUAAAACUCUGGUGUCUCUUUUUAGAAUUAGGCACUGUGUGUGAUCUCUUUAAAGUGGACAUUGUUGAGAUAAGAUGUUUCUUGUCAUUUAAGAUAGUUUUGUAAAUAUUCACCCAUCUGGUCACCUGUCAGAAGUAAGAAUCUUCUAAUGACCAGGCAGAAGAGUUUAUAAGCUGGAAAUGCUUAUACAGUCUUAAUUGACAUACUACAGAUAACUAGCAUUGGCAGGUGAGCAAUAUUUGUGGGCUUAUUUGCAAGGCUAAUUUAAGGUGUUUUACAUUCAGAGAAAAAUAAUCACUCAUGCCAUUGCAUGCUUAGGUAGAGUUUUGCUGUGCUUUCUGAUACUGGCAGUUGUGGAACCCAGUGGUAUUGGUUUCACUUUCAACAGAUAACUUUACUUCACAGAUACGAAAAAGACUAGUAUUUAUUUUAGUAUUGAUGUCCUGCCUUUUUGCUGUGAAUUUCAGUUGGGCCCAUGAGCAAGGACAGCACAGUAUGCACUCCUGGAGAACACUGUCUAAAUUAGAUUUGAAAAAGGCUGCUGCUACUGUCACGAUUUGCACUUCAACACACUCAAAUGCCACGGGGGAGGGGAAUCAAUUUCAAAUUCUGUCCUUUUUUAACUGGCUUGUUGCUUAAAACUUAAUUAUUGUCUGAUACUUGGAUGUAAUACUAUAUUGAUGCAUUUGUCUCUGUUUACACAUACAAGCUAUAAGGCACUUUUUUUUAGCAAAAUACCCAGUCAUGGUCAAACUCAGGAGAUAAAGAGAACCCAAGAAAAUCUUCAUACAGAGUUUCCUUCCGUCAGCACUCAGGAGGAUCCCUACGCCUGUGCAGCCUCUGAGACGAGCUCCGUCUUGGAUGAAACUUAUCCAGUUUAAAUUCAGUCAGAAGGCUCUUUUCUGACUGGGAAUAAUUUCUUCCGGUUAAAGAAGAAACGUGAGAUUUCCCACAUAGCUUUGUUUUGAUUGUUGGAGUCUGGAAUUCGUCAGAAUUGUCUGUCUUCCAGCAGCUCAGACAGAGCAAGGAUUUUUAUGCUAGCUCAGCUGGAUAAGUGACCCGUUUUUUUUUAUACGGAUUAACAGGCAAACAUCCUCCUGUCUACAUUCAUCAUUUUCUUAUCUAUACAGCUAAAGAGAUUUGUCAAAGUAACAGCAAUUGAGAUAACCUAGGUGAGGUAAGACUUUCCUUUUUUUAUUCACGGAACUAAGGGGGAAGAAAAUAUAAAUAGCUUAUCUUUUUUUUUAUUGCAAAAAGCUUACAUGGAAAAUAGCAUGUUAAAGAUUACAACGGACGAGAGAUUUCUGAUUGGAAGAGAUAAGAAAUCUUUUUAAUGUAUGGCUGGGACUAUUUUUCCUGAUCUACUUUUUUUUUUGACGAAUCUGCUCAUUCUCUCUGCUAUUAGCUAUUUCGACGCUGUGAACUAAAGCCGUUCUUACACUUCCGGGCAGAUAAGAGAUAAGGGCUGUCUAGCGUGUGACGUUAGUUUGUUGGAAAGAUUAACUCCUUUGUAACUGGUUAAAGAAAUAAGCUGCUCUUUGUUUGGGACAUUGAAAAUUGAAGGAGUUUUGUUCCUUUGGCUUUAAGAAUGACAAUUAAGAAGAUCAUGGAUGUACAAGAAGGGACUUUAUCUCUAGACAUGUUUCAGAAAAUAAUGAAUGGGAUUAACUCAAUAAAACAAGAACUGAGAAAUAAUAGACAAGCGUGGAGAAUUGAAUUUCACGAAAUGAGACAGGAGCUGAAAGAAACUCAGGAUUCUAUGAGAAAGGAGAAUAAAGAUAGAUCUGGAAAACAAAAAAAGGAUGAAAGAGAAAUUAAAGGCAAGGUUCAAACUAUGGAGAUUGGCUUAAUUAUGGACAUGAAAAAAGACUUGGAUUUCCUGGCUGUGAUGGAUCCUGGAGACAAAUAUUACAGUUUGGAAUUCAGCGCUGUCCCUGAAGGAAUUGAAGAGAUUGGAGAUAAAGAUAUUAUCGGUUCAAAAAAAUUCUUGGACUGGAAGGAUUUGAUGGAACUUGAAAUGGAGAAAGUUAACAGAAUUAAUCCCUGUUUUGUGUCAAUGGAAAAACCUUCAAGAGAUGUACUAGUGUAUCAUGUGGAAAAGAGGAACAGAGAUGCGGCUUUGCAACUAUACUUCAGUGAUACGUUUGGAUUUGAUGGCAAGAAAAUAUCUGUGAUGGAGGAAAUUCCUAUCAGACUUUUAUUGUAUGACUAUGACAGCAAGAUUUUUGGGUGCGUAAAGAUGGAAGAUGGAAGAUGGACCCAAUAUGGAUAAUGACAGAAGAGCAAUUUAAAAUUACUGGACUUAGUAGAUUUGAUGAGUUGGAUUAAUUGGCAUGUUUAUUUAGAAAAAAAAAUUGAUUGACAUAUAUCUCAAGGAUUGGAAACUUCUCUUUGACUUUUUGUGGAAGAUUAAAAUGAUACGAUGUUAAUGAGAUUUGAAACCAACUAAGAUAACCGUUGGAGGAAGGUGGUUUUAUAAUCUAUUAAGAGAUAGGUUUGUUAUAUGUUAUAGAUUUAUAGCUGAACUAUGGCAAAUCGGAAGUCAAUAUUCUUUCUUUUUUAUAUAUAUAUAUAUAUAUUUCUUUUUGUAUUGUACUAGUUAUUGAUUUG